AUUGAACGCUGGCGGCAUGCCCUACACAUGCAAGUCGAACGGCAGCACGGGGGCAACCCUGGUGGCGAGUGGCGAACGGGUGAGUAAUGCAUCGGAACGUGUCCUCUUGUGGGGGAUAACCAGUCGAAAGAUUGGCUAACACCGCAUGAGAUCGAGAGAUGAAAGCGGGGGACCCGAGGGUAACUUCGGGCCUCGCGCGAGAGGAGCGGCCGAUGCCGGAUUAGCUAGUUGGUGGGGUAAGAGCCUACCAAGGCGACGAUCCGUAGCUGGUCUGAGAGGACGACCAGCCACACUGGGACUGAGACACGGCCCAGACUCCUACGGGAGGCAGCAGUGGGGAAUUUUGGACAAUGGGCGCAAGCCUGAUCCAGCCAUGCCGCGUGUGUGAAGAAGGCC
Molecule: ribosomal RNA, 396 nt
Filed under: uncultured bacterium
Lineage: Bacteria
Description: bacterial SSU rRNA
Rfam family: Bacterial small subunit ribosomal RNA
Source: RNAcentral